GCGACUGCGGAGGUGAGGCAGCGGUGGGCCCGGCCGCAGCAAUGGCACCUCGGCUGCCAUGGUGGCACUCGGCCCGGCCAGAGACUGGGCCCAGCCGGAGACUGGGGCAGGAACUUGAGUGGCAGCAGCAGCAGAAGUGGGACCCCUGCAGGAGGGACAAGGAAACCCUGCUUGGAAUGCAAGAGGGGGCAGACAGCGAGAGAGAGGCGACAGAAAUCAGUUGGGUGACGGCAGAUGGCCAGACGGUGAAAAGAGGAGAAGGUACUUUUGUUUAUGUGGCAGUUCAUUCCAUGGCAACGCAUAGCAUCUGGGCAAGAAAAGUAAUCACCUAGAAGGUAUCAUCAUUCGGCUCAUGAGAUUCAAGGUUUUUUUGGAGGACCGGCAAUAACUGAAACAAGGAAGAGAGGAAGAGUUCCUUGAAAUUUCAUUUCCCAAGCAUAGGAGUUUUUUUUUUUUUCAGCACCACUAUGCCAGUGGCUCAAGAAUUCAAGCUGUUAUAGCAUCACACCUGCUCUGUGAAGUCAUCCUUUGUUAUGGAUUUCAUUGUAAGCUAAUGUGGUAGCCAGUCUUGUCUGUCAAGCAGGGCAGAUGUUUCGUUCGUUAAAAUUGUGUGCUGCUUCAGCUUCAUUCAGUCUGUAUAAUCAAGGGGUGUUUGUGUGUGUGUGUGUGUGUGUGUGUGUGUGUGUGUGUGUGUGUGUGUGUGUGUGUGUGAGAGAGAGAGAGAGAGAGAGAGAGAGAGAGAGAGAGAGAGACCUAUUUUCCUUUGCUAUGUAAACCAUUUUGAGAAUUCUUUUUGUUGAAAAGUGGUACAUUUAUAUACUCUAAAUAAAUAAUUUGA
Hemicordylus capensis (graceful crag lizard) is the source of this 838-nucleotide long non-coding RNA. RefSeq lists it as uncharacterized. NCBI's taxonomy places the organism in Eukaryota, Metazoa, Chordata, Lepidosauria, Squamata, Cordylidae. The record is from RefSeq and is a predicted model, not a curated record. The transcript is spliced from 4 exons.